AUUGAACGCUGGCGGCAUGCCUUACACAUGCAAGUCGAACGGCAGCACGGGUGCUUGCACCUGGUGGCGAGUGGCGAACGGGUGAGUAAUACAUCGGGACAUGUCCUGUAGUGGGGGAUAGCACGGCGAAAGCCGGAUUAAUACCGCAUACGAUCUACGGAUGAAAGCGGGGGACCUUCGGGACUCGCGCUAUAGGGUUGGCCGAUGGCUGAUUAGCUAGUUGGUGGGGUAAAGGCCUACCAAGGCGACGAUCAGUAGCUGGUCUGAGAGGACGACCAGCCACACUGGGUCUGAGACACGGCCCAGACUCCUACGGGAGGCAGCAGUGGGGAAUUUUGGACAAUGGGCGAAAGCCUGAUCCAGCAAUGCCGCGUGUGUGAAGAAGGCCUUCGGGUUGUAAAGCACUUUUGUCCGGAAAGAAAUCCUUGGCCCUAAUACGGUCGGGGGAUGACGGUACCGGAAGAAUAAGCACCGGCUAACUACGUG
RNAcentral lists this ribosomal RNA (486 nucleotides) under uncultured bacterium. RNAcentral's name for it is "partial 16S ribosomal RNA". It matches the Rfam family "Bacterial small subunit ribosomal RNA", at positions 30 to 507 of the family's 1533-position model. The record is from RNAcentral.